Molecule: ribosomal RNA, 828 nt
Filed under: Salmonella enterica
Lineage: Bacteria; Pseudomonadati; Pseudomonadota; Gammaproteobacteria; Enterobacterales; Enterobacteriaceae
Description: partial 23S ribosomal RNA
Rfam family: Bacterial large subunit ribosomal RNA
Source: RNAcentral
AGCAUUCUCUGGUGUUGAAGGCCCUGCAAAGCAGCAUCGCGGUGGCGGAGCGUCGUUUGCGACGCCCAACACACAAAACAAGCGGUGAGUGCUUUGGGGUGGGGUGACUGCGUACCUUUUGUAUAAUGGGUCAGCGACUUAUAUUCUGUAGCAAGGUUAACCGAAUAGGGGAGCCGGAGGGAAACCGAGUCUUAAUUGGGCGUUAAGUUGCAGGGUAUAGACCCGAAACCCGGUGAUCUAGCCAUGGGCAGGUUGAAGGUUGGGUAACACUAACUGGAGGACCGAACCGACUAAUGUUGAAAAAUUAGCGGAUGACCUGUGGCUGGGGGUGAAAGGCCAAUCAAACCGGGAGAUAGCUGGUUCUCCCCGAAAGCUAUUUAGGUAGCGCCUCGUGAAUUCAUCUCCGGGGGUAGAGCACUGUUUCGGCUAGGGGGCCAUCCCGGCUUACCAACCCGAUGCAAACUGCGAAUACCGGAGAAUGUUAUCACGGGAGACACACGGCGGGUGCUAACGUCCGUCGUGAAGAGGGAAACAACCCAGACCGCCAGCUAAGGUCCCAAAGUCAUGGUUAAGUGGGAAACGAUGUGGGAAGGCCCAGACAGCCAGGAUGUUGGCUUAGAAGCAGCCAUCAUUUAAAGAAAGCGUAAUAGCUCACUGGUCGAGUCGGCCUGCGCGGAAGAUGUAACGGGGCUAAACCAUGCACCGAAGCUGCGGCAGCGAACGUAUCACUUAAAGCGAUUCAGCGGGUUACGAUUGACGGAGCGAAGCGACGUCAAAGCGUAUACAAAGUCGAGUCGGUUUAAGGAUACGUUCGUUGGGUAGGGGAGC